AUUGAACGCUGGCGGCAUGCUUUACACAUGCAAGUCGAACGGCAGCGCGGGCUUCGGCCUGGCGGCGAGUGGCGAACGGGUGAGUAAUGCAUCGGAACGUGCCCAGUAGUGGGGGAUAGCCCGGCGAAAGCCGGAUUAAUACCGCAUACGACCUGAGGGUGAAAGCGGGGGACCGAAAGGCCUCGCGCUAUUGGAGCGGCCUAUGUCGGAUUAGCUAGUUGGUGGGGUAAAGGCUUACCAAGGCGACGAUCCGUAGCUGGUCUGAGAGGACGACCAGCCACACUGGGACUGAGACACGGCCCAGACUCCUACGGGAGGCAGCAGUGGGGAAUUUUGGACAAUGGGGGCAACCCUGAUCCAGCCAUGCCGCGUGCGGGAAGAAGGCCUUCGGGUUGUAAACCGCUUUUGUUCGGGAAGAAAUCCUCUGGGCUAAUACCCCGGGGGGAUGACGGUACCGGAAGAAUAAGCACCGGCUAACUACGUG
RNAcentral lists this ribosomal RNA (484 nucleotides) under uncultured bacterium. Its description in RNAcentral is "partial 16S ribosomal RNA". It matches the Rfam family "Bacterial small subunit ribosomal RNA", at positions 28 to 507 of the family's 1533-position model. The record is from RNAcentral.